AGAAGGUGUGUCCACUAUUUUCCCAGUGGUGUAUGAAAGGCAGGCCAGCUCCUGAACCCCAACGUUGUUCCUCAAUUUUUUUUUGCCUGGUCUGUAUCAAAAGACAGAAUCUUGAUGACUAAGACAUUUUCUUUGGUACCUACAAGAAGUAUCCAGCUCUCUACUUCUAUCAGCUCCUGGAUGACUACAAGAAAGGGAACCUCCACAUCAUUCCAGACACUCCUCUGGCUGAGGAGAGAUCAGGAGAUGACAGUGAUGUGUUGAUAGACAGAGACAUCAUGGCCUCCAUGCAGAGGAAUGUGUGGAUGGACAUAUAUUUAAGGAAGACACUAAACCAGAAAAUACCACAUUACACCCUCUUAAAAGACUUCUAAGAUUGUUGUCAUGCCUACCACAGACAUUCAGAUGAUGUGUAUUCUUGAUUGUGAUUUCAUGUUUGGAGCUGAUGAAGGAGAAAGUACCUGGAAUGUCCUAGAAUUCUCAAGACCCAGGAGAUGAACAUAUGCCUGAGAAGAAGAACUAGUGUGGAACUGUCAGCCAGGUUUUUGAUGAGUGCUCAGACUGCUUUUUGAUCCGGCACCACAUUUACUAUAGUGGACAGAUGCUCUAGUCUCUGAUGAGGAGUUGCUAGCUGUUAGGAAAAACCUGGAAUGGGCUCCACUGCAUGAGGUUUGAAGUCUCCAGAGCAGCAAAGAGAGUGGGGAGUAGAACUCAUCAUCUUUAGGUCACUCAGCAUC
This 737-nucleotide long non-coding RNA is filed under the name Mus musculus (house mouse). RNAcentral describes it as "predicted gene, 57872". The record is from RNAcentral. Lineage: Eukaryota; Metazoa; Chordata; Mammalia; Rodentia; Muridae.